This 228-nucleotide ribosomal RNA is filed under the name gamma proteobacterium SCGC AAA160-F12. RNAcentral's name for it is "partial 16S ribosomal RNA". It matches the Rfam family "Bacterial small subunit ribosomal RNA", at positions 346 to 566 of the family's 1533-position model. The record is from RNAcentral. RNAcentral also lists the same sequence under 5 other names. Lineage: Bacteria; Pseudomonadati; Pseudomonadota; Gammaproteobacteria.
AGGCAGCAGUGGGGAAUAUUGGACAAUGGGCGAAAGCCUGAUCCAGCCAUGCCGCGUGUGUGAAGAAGGUCUUCGGAUUGUAAAGCACUUUAAGUUGGGAGGAAGGGCAGUAAAUUAAUACUUUGCUGUUUUGACGUUACCGACAGAAUAAGCACCGGCUAACUCUGUGCCAGCAGCCGCGGUAAUACAGAGGGUGCAAGCGUUAAUCGGAAUUACUGGGCGUAAAGC